AUUGAACGCUGGCGGCAUGCUUUACACAUGCAAGUCGAACGGUAACAGGCCGCAAGGUGCUGACGAGUGGCGAACGGGUGAGUAAUGCAUCGGAACGUGCCCAGUCGUGGGGGAUAACUACUCGAAAGAGUAGCUAAUACCGCAUACGAUCUAUGGAUGAAAGCGGGGGACCGUAAGGCCUCGCGCGAUUGGAGCGGCCGAUGUCAGAUUAGGUAGUUGGUGGGGUAAAGGCUCACCAAGCCAACGAUCUGUAGCUGGUCUGAGAGGACAACCGGCCACACUGGGACUGAGACACGGCCCAGACUCCUACGGGAGGCAGCAGUGGGGAAUUUUGGACAAUGGGCGCAAGCCUGAUCCAGCAAUGCCGCGUGCAGGAAGAAGGCCUUCGGGUUGUAAACUGCUUUUGUACGGAACGAAACGGCUCUGGUUAAUACCCGGGGCUAAUGACGGUACCGUAAGAAUAAGCACCGGCUAACUACGUG
This 482-nucleotide ribosomal RNA is filed under the name uncultured bacterium. RNAcentral's name for it is "partial 16S ribosomal RNA". It matches the Rfam family "Bacterial small subunit ribosomal RNA", at positions 30 to 507 of the family's 1533-position model. The record is from RNAcentral.